This 382-nucleotide ribosomal RNA is filed under the name uncultured organism. RNAcentral describes it as "partial 16S ribosomal RNA". It matches the Rfam family "Bacterial small subunit ribosomal RNA", at positions 527 to 897 of the family's 1533-position model. The record is from RNAcentral.
GUAGGUGGCAAGCGUUGUCCGGAAUUAUUGGGCGUAAAGCGCGCGCAGGUGGUUCGUUUAAGUCUGAUGUGAAAGACCCCCCCGGGCUCAACCCGGGGGAGGGUCAUUGGAAACUGGGGAACUUGAGUGCAGGAGAGGAAAGUGGAAUUCCACGUGUAGCGGUGAAAUGCGUAGAUAUGUGGAGGAACACCAGUGGCGAAGGCGACUUUCUGGCCUGUAACUGACACUGAGGCGCGAAAGCGUGGGGAGCAAACAGGAUUAGAUACCCUGGUAGUCCACGCCGUAAACGAUGAGUGCUAAGUGUUCGGGGGGGUUUCCGCCCCUCAGUGCUGCAGCUAACGCAUUAAGCACUCCGCCUGGGGAGUACGGUCGCAAAGACUGA